This 206-nucleotide ribosomal RNA is filed under the name uncultured bacterium. Its description in RNAcentral is "partial 16S ribosomal RNA". It matches the Rfam family "Bacterial small subunit ribosomal RNA", at positions 568 to 774 of the family's 1533-position model. The record is from RNAcentral.
UGCGUAGGUGGUUUCUUAAGUCAGAGGUGAAAGGCUACGGCUCAACCGUAGUAAGCCUUUGAAGCUGGGAAACUUGAGUGCAGGAGAGGAGAGUGGAAUUCCUAGUGUAGCGGUGAAAUGCGUAGAUAUUAGGAGGAACACCAGUUGCGAAGGCGGCUCUCUGGACUGUAACUGACACUGAGGCACGAAAGCGUGGGGAGCAAACA